This 107-nucleotide small nuclear RNA is filed under the name Panthera leo (lion). Lineage: Eukaryota; Metazoa; Chordata; Mammalia; Carnivora; Felidae. The record is from RNAcentral.
GUGCUCACUUGGGCAGCACAUAUACUAAAACUGGAACAAUACAGAGAAGAUUAGCACGGCCCCUGCAUAAGGAUGACACACAAAUUCAUGAAACGUUCCACAUUUUU